GUGCUUCAGGGAUGAACAUGUCCCGAACAUUCAUCCAUCCGUUUCACUUUGUCAGCUGUCUCUUCUUUUGUCUUGCUGAUCAUUUUAGGAUGGUACAUCC
This is a small nucleolar RNA of Juglans microcarpa x Juglans regia, 100 nucleotides long. RefSeq annotates it as small nucleolar RNA snoR99. Lineage: Eukaryota; Viridiplantae; Streptophyta; Magnoliopsida; Fagales; Juglandaceae. The record is from RefSeq and is a predicted model, not a curated record. The transcript has a single exon.